RNAcentral lists this unclassified non-coding RNA (322 nucleotides) under uncultured Chytridiales. RNAcentral describes it as "sequence contains ITS2". Lineage: Eukaryota; Fungi; Chytridiomycota; Chytridiomycetes; Chytridiales. The record is from RNAcentral.
AACGCACAUUGCGCUUUCUGGUAUUCCGGAGAGCAUGUCUGUUUGAGAAUCAGUUUAACCAUCAUACCUUUUUUUAUUGAGAGUGUAUGGAAAUGAGAUAUGUUGUUGUAAUAACAACCGUCUUUAAAUUUAAAAUUAGCCCUUUUUAAUUGCGAUUUUUUAACGCUAGAAGGCAUGACCAAUGAACUGGAAACGGUUCUUAUGAUUGCUGAUAAUGGCUCAAGGAAUAUCAAGAAGAAAGUAAGCUUUUAUAAUAAAAAUCACAAAGAGAAAUCUUUAAGACUUUGAUCUCAAAUCAGAUAAGACUACCCGCUGAACUUAA